RNAcentral lists this signal recognition particle RNA (302 nucleotides) under Humulus japonicus (Japanese hop). RNAcentral's name for it is "small cytoplasmic RNA 7S". It matches the Rfam family "Plant signal recognition particle RNA". The record is from RNAcentral. Lineage: Eukaryota; Viridiplantae; Streptophyta; Magnoliopsida; Rosales; Cannabaceae.
GCCUAGCAACGUGGGCCUGUGACCCAAGUGGGGGGAUGUGGGAAAUGGGACUCUGGCGCAGCCGGUUGGCAUCGGGUCCAGUGUUAGCUGCUUCCUGGCCUGCCCAUUCCAAGCCGAGACUUGGGCUGUCUGAGCCGGACGAAGGUCUGGCUUGCUCAGCUCCUAAAGCGGAGGGCAAUGCCGUGAGGCUGGCUUCACAGAGCAGCGACCACCUCCCGGUCCCGGCAGUGGCAAGGAUAACGGGCCGUGCUACUUGGGUCCACCAUGUUCACUGGUGGACUCUAAAUAGGACCAUUUCUUUU